Molecule: ribosomal RNA, 448 nt
Filed under: uncultured bacterium
Lineage: Bacteria
Description: SSU rRNA
Rfam family: Bacterial small subunit ribosomal RNA
Source: RNAcentral
AGAGCGAACGCUGGCGGCAUGCUUAACACAUGCAAGUCGCACGGGCACUUCGGUGUCAGUGGCGGACGGGUGAGUAACGCGUAGGUAUCUAUCCUUGGGUGGGGGACAACGGUUGGAAACGACUGCUAAUACCGCAUGAUAACUGAGGUUUAAAGGCGCAAGUCGCCUGAGGAGGAGCCUGCGUACGAUUAGCUAGUUGGUGGGGUAAAGGCCUACCAAGGCGACGAUCGUUAGCUGGUCUGAGAGGAUGAUCAGCCACAUUGGGACUGAGACACGGCCCAAACUCCUACGGGAGGCAGCAGUGGGGAAUAUUGGACAAUGGGCGAAAGCCUGAUCCAGCAAUGCCGCGUGUGUGAAGAAGGUCUUCGGAUUGUAAAGCACUUUCGACAGGGACGAUGAUGACGGUACCUGUAGAAGAAGCCCCGGCUAACUUCGUGCCAGCAGCCGC